Molecule: small nuclear RNA, 107 nt
Organism: Pteronotus mesoamericanus
Lineage: Eukaryota; Metazoa; Chordata; Mammalia; Chiroptera; Mormoopidae
Source: RefSeq, a predicted model, not a curated record
GUGCUCAUUUUGGCUGCACAUAUACUAAAAUUGGAAUGAUACAGAGAAGAUUAGCAUGCACGCUAUACAAGGAUGACACACUAAUUCAUAAAGCAUUCCAUAUUUUG